This is a long non-coding RNA of Scatophagus argus, 323 nucleotides long. RefSeq lists it as uncharacterized. The record is from RefSeq and is a predicted model, not a curated record. NCBI's taxonomy places the organism in Eukaryota, Metazoa, Chordata, Actinopteri, Scatophagidae. The transcript has 3 exons.
ACUGACUUUUUGCAAAGGAACCAAGAAAAGUAGUCAAUUAGUUUUACAGACUGACAGGUAACUCAUUGAUGGCACAGUUUUGGUGACUGUCAUCUUGAUUCUUCAGGACAGACAUGGGGAAAUCAAAUUCCACUCGGAGAUGGAUGUGCUGUCACUGCGAGUCGCUGACGAGCUCGUGAGUCAGUUGACACAUCCUGAACUCCGCGGGGCUGCAACGCUCAGCAAACAUCUGCCAGGCUGCAAAGAAAAAUCCUGCAAAUACUGAGUAGUAUUAUAUGAAAACCUGGUACGCGGGAUAAAUUGCAGCAUAAAUCAGAGACAAG